CCUCAUCAGUAGAUGGAGACGUAUAGAAAUAGUCAGACUACAUCUACGAAGUGCCAGUAUCAGGCGGCGGCUUCAAAGCCGAAGUGAUGUUUAGAUGUAAAGUGAAAUAUUAGUUGGCGCAUGAGGCAGAUAGUGAGGAAAGUUGAUCCAAUGAUGACGUGGAGUCCGUGGAGGUAGAGGCUCACUAGAAGUGUAAAAACGUA
RNAcentral lists this long non-coding RNA (203 nucleotides) under Pan troglodytes (chimpanzee). RNAcentral describes it as "long non-coding RNA NONPTRT013138". The record is from RNAcentral. Lineage: Eukaryota; Metazoa; Chordata; Mammalia; Primates; Hominidae.